UUUCAUAAUAAACUUUAGGAAAUACACAUAUUCUGCUUUUCGAACUUAAAAUAACCGCAACAACAUAGUUUACCAAAUAUUAAGUUAUUUUUUCAAUUAAUAACUUAUUUUAUCCGCAUAACAAAAACAACUUAUUUUAUUAACUGCCUCGAUCUCAAAUUCGCCCUAAACUUAUAAGACAAAAAAUCGUUCACAUCUCAUGUAGCAAAAGGAAGAGCCCCCAUUCAGAGCAGCAUUCCCACAAGCGCAGAUCGGCAAACCGAGAGCCGAAUUUGGCUCACAUAUCAGCUACUUUGUUUCCUUUCCUAAAAAAUCUGAGAAAAACAAACCAUGAAAACUAAUUCUCGUUGAUGGAAAUUUUUAAGUUAUUUAGUAGACACUCUUCAAAAGAAAAAAAAAAUAAUAGCAAAAUAAAACAAAAAGGAAAAGAAAUUUGGUAAAUCCAUCAUACAUUUGCAUUUUCACCAAAACUAGAAAAACUUAAAUUUACUUCAAUUUUUUUAAUCUUAAUUAUUUUUAUUUUUUUAAUCUUAAUUAUAUAAAGUCAUUUACCUAACACUUGUCAAAGUAGAAAAUUUUGGCAGGCUUUUAAAUUUGAUAAAGAAACAAAUUCCCAGAUGUCAGUUUGGGUAAAGCAAUGAAACUCGAGCUCAAUUAUUUUCCUUUUCGAAAGUGCCCUAAAAUUUUUAUAACAUUUGUAUUGUGUAGAUGCACAAGUUAUGAUUUGUUGAUUAUGAAAGAAUCUUUAAUCUCACGUUCUAAAACGAUUCGGAUAACAUCAUCAUCAUACACUAAUGAUCACUUGAUUAGCCGGCCAAAAAAAUACUUUAAAAUAAUUGAUAGAGAAACACAAACUUUAAGCUUUAGGUGUUUGUCUUGGAUUUAAUGCUUUAACUUUACAAGGAUGGUGGGGAAGAAGAAAAAAAACAAUGGUAAAAAUUUUGAAAUUUUGGCCUCAAUAAAUGGGAGGGGAAGCACGCUUUGUUGCUCACCCAUGCCCCCAUAAUGUUAACACACGGCUCACAACAAUCACUUUCUUGUCAAAUGUGGCAAAGCUACGGAAAUGAAACAAUGCGGUUUAAAUGCAGUCACAGGACUCUUGUUGCGGUUGCUUUUUGUGUGCAAGUAAAAACUUUUGGUGCCUAUCAUAAAUGUAAAAUUAAUUUCUCACCACUUCUCUCUUUUUUUCUUUUUUCUUCCCCCCUUUCUUUCGGCGGUUCGCAUAAAUAAGAAUCAUAAUGGCCUGAUUCAAUAAGUUUGAAUUUCAAAUUCUUUUACUGAAAAUAUAUAGAUUCAUUUCGUAGUAGGCGUAAUAGCCAUAGCCGAGUGAUGAGCAGUAGUAGUUUGAGUCCUCAUAUUUAUAAUAUGAAGAUUUAGUUUCUCUCUCAAUUAAAAAGUAAUUGAGUGGAUACAAUUUAUAAUUUUUUUUUUAUGAAAUGUGAGUAGAGUAAAA
Molecule: long non-coding RNA, 1453 nt
Filed under: Citrus x clementina
Lineage: Eukaryota; Viridiplantae; Streptophyta; Magnoliopsida; Sapindales; Rutaceae
Description: Citrus clementina (C. clementina) long non-coding RNA (CCLE_LNC006516)
Source: RNAcentral